CUCAAUUGGUUUUCUUCAAAAAUGGUGAAGGGAAAGUGAUAUGUAUCCUUGUCGUGGUGGCGGUGUUUUUGAACUUGUUGUACUUCUAUGGAAUGUGUGGUGUAGUGAAUGAUUGCUUGCUUCAACAGUACUUUAGCAAUAGUCCUCUAGUGGUGGUUCGCUCUUGAAUAUAAUUACAGAAGACGUGCGGGAGAAGUUAUCGGUAUAGCUGUCGGAUGUGCAAGUGGACUAUUGAUACUUGCAUCCAUUUUCUAUCUAUGGUGGAUGAAGGAAUCACCUGGCCAUAUGCAAGUGCACACAAACUCAUCAAGAUUUGUACUUUCAACAUUAU
Magnolia sinica is the source of this 331-nucleotide long non-coding RNA. RefSeq lists it as uncharacterized. The record is from RefSeq and is a predicted model, not a curated record. The transcript is spliced from 3 exons. NCBI's taxonomy places the organism in Eukaryota, Viridiplantae, Streptophyta, Magnoliopsida, Magnoliales, Magnoliaceae.